RNAcentral lists this ribosomal RNA (258 nucleotides) under uncultured bacterium. Its description in RNAcentral is "partial 16S ribosomal RNA". It matches the Rfam family "Bacterial small subunit ribosomal RNA", at positions 524 to 776 of the family's 1533-position model. The record is from RNAcentral.
UACAUGGGGUGCAAACGUUGCUCGGAAUUAUUGGGCGUAAAGCGCACGUAGGCGGUUCGUUAAGUCGGAUGUGAAAGCCCUCGGCUCAACUGAGGAAGUGCACCCGAAACUGGCGAGCUUGAGUAGCGAAAGAGGAUCGCGGAAUUCCCGGUGUAGAGGUGAAAUUCGUAGAUAGUCGGGAGGAACGACCGGGUGGCGAAGGCGGCGAUCUGGGUCGAUACUGACGCGUGAGGUGCGAAAGCGUGGGGAGCAAACAGG